ACUUGUGCUGUGACUUAUGACAGAGCAUGUAAGGUUUCUUCUGAGAAUCAGUGUUUUCCUGGAGGAAGAAAUGAGAAAAUAUCAACCACACACACUCAGGACUGAAAAACUCCAAACCUUAAAGCCACAGAAGGUCCUGAGACUGGAGUUACAGAUGGUUGAGAAGCACCUUAUAAAUGGUAGGAAUUGAACAUACGUCAUCUGGAGAAGCAGCCAGUGCUCUUCAUCACUGAGCCAGCACUCCAGUCCUUGAUGCUACUAUGAUGCCACCAUCAUAAAAUUAAUAUCUUCUCUAAUGGAUAGUAAAAUGAAUCCAUGAAUUUAUCUGCAUGAUAAAAACUCAGCAUGAAAUCAAAUAGUUCCCUCUGUAAUGAUUACAUAUGACCAUACCAGAGCAUUGAGUCUGUGCUUAUUACAUAACCACGCCUGAGUAGGACAGCUGACCUUCAAACACAAAUACGAUGAAAGCUGAACAAAUCAGAUUAAUUUGCUUUCUCCAAGUUGGAAGUCUUACUUCACAUAUUUUUCUUAAAAUGAUUCAUUUUCAACCACGAUGUUUCAUGAUCUGCCUCAGGCUCUUAUGUGCACAGGACAUACAUCAGAUAUAAUGGACACUGAAGAAGAGUUAAUGAGCUCAGAGAAAAACAUUAAACCGGUUACACUCUAUGGACGUUCUGAUUUCAAGAUAUGAGGAACGAUUAUUGAAAGCACUGUAGUUAGAAAUAUUAAGGCUUAUACUAAACAUUUAAACAUAUUUUUAAGGGUACAAUGUGUAUAAAAUGCUGAUUUUCCUUAUUAUAGCUUAUAUGAUCUCAUGGAAUAUCACUGUUGUGAAUCACUUGAAAACUCAAAGCAAGUGGGUGAUGUGAUGUGCCCAUCAUAAUGUCUGUAUGUUUGUAAAACAAUAAACAGCAGCAGCAUUUUUCUCACAUGCCACCUUGUUGAGUAAACUCGAUCUUUACAGAUGUCAGCAACAAUGAUAUGAGCACCACAUCUUUUCCUUCAGAGUGUUAGAAUCAUUUGACUUUUGAUUUAGAUACAUGAUGACGUUUUGUAGUUACAUUGUGUACUAGAGGCAGAGGAAAGUUGCGUGUGUGAGCAGGUUGUCUUCCAUACAUCUUGACACUUGUUUUUGGUGUCAGUAGAAAAGGAAUACAAAGGGCCAUCUUGAUAGUCAGUGUGUGGCUGAUGAGAAUCCUAGAUUCAGUGAUUCAUUCAUUCAUUCAAAAAUAUUAUUAAUUAUCUAGCAUGACAGACAAUGAUGCCCAAUAUCAAAUCGUUAACUGUCUCAAAUCUGCACUGCAGUUGUAAGGGCUAGAAGAAGAUGAUUAUGGAGUCAAAGGGAUCAUAAGGAGGGCUGGCCAGAUGACCCAAAGGGUAAGGGCUCUUCUGUUCAAGGUAACUGACCUGAGUUCUAUUUAUGCCACCAUGUUUAGAAGAAAGGGUCAGCUCUGGAAAGCCACCUUUUGAGCUCCAUACUUAUGUCACAUGCAUAUAAAUAAAUAAAUAAGUAAAUAAAUGUAAAAAGAAUCAAAUCCUCAAAAA
This 1545-nucleotide long non-coding RNA is filed under the name Mus musculus (house mouse). RNAcentral describes it as "predicted gene, 47352". The record is from RNAcentral. Lineage: Eukaryota; Metazoa; Chordata; Mammalia; Rodentia; Muridae.